GAGGGGAGAGGGGGUAAACAUGCAAGUCGAUUCAAGUUACCUUCGGGUAAUGAGGGUGGCGGACGGGUGAGUAACGCGUAAGGAACUUGCCUCUUGGACUGGGACAACUGUUGGAAACGACAGCUAAUACCGGAUAUUAUGAGAUUCUCGCAUGAGAAACUUAUGAAAGCUAUAUGCGCCAAGAGAGAGCCUUGCGUUCCAUUAGCUAGUUGGUGGGGUAACGGCCCACCAAGGCGACGAUGGAUAGCCGGCCUGAGAGGGUGAACGGCCACAAGGGGACUGAGACACGGCCCUUACUCCUACGGGAGGCAGCAGUGGGGAAUAUUGGACAAUGGGCCACAAGCCUGAUCCAGCAAUUCUGUGUGCACGAUGAAGGUCUUCGGAUUGUAAAGUGCUUUCAGUUGGGAAGAAGAAAGUGACGGUACCAGCAGAAGAAGCGACGGCUAAAUACGUGCCAGCAGCCGCGGUAAUACGUAUGUCGCAAGCGUUAUCCGGAUUUAUUGGGCGUAAAGCGCGUCUAGGCGGAAAAAUAAGUCUGAUGUUAAAAUGCGGGGCUCAACUCCGUAUUGCGUUGGAAACUGUUUUUCUAGAGUACUGGAGAGGUGGGCGGAACUACAAGUGUAGAGGUGAAAUUCGUAGAUAUUUGUGGGAAUGCCGAUGGAGAAGUCAGCUCACUGGACAGAUACUGACGCUGAAGCGCGAAAGCGUGGGGAGCAAACAGGAUUAGAUACCCUGGUAGUCCACGCCGUAAACGAUGAUCACUAGGUGUUGGGGGUCGAACCUCAGCGCCCAAGCUAACGCGAUAAGUGAUCCGCCUGGGGAGUACGCACGCAAGUGUGAAACUCAAAGGAAUUGACGGGGACCCGCACAAGCGGUGGAGCAUGUGGUUUAAUUCGACGCAACGCGAGAAACCUUACCAGCGUUUGACAUCCUAAGAAGUUUCCAGAGAUGGAUUCAUGCCGGCUUGCCGGAACUUAGUGACAGGUGGUGCAUGGCUGUCGUCAGCUCGUGUCGUGAAAUGUUGGGUUAAGUCCCGCAACGAGCGCAGCCCCUAUUGUAGGUUGCUACCAUUAAGUUGAUCACUCAGGCUAUACUGCCUGCAAUGAGCAGGAGGGAGGGUGGGGAUGAGGUCAGAUCACCUAGCCCUUUAGUCGCGUGUGGUCACCAGUAGCUAGAUUAGCGUAGGUGCGAGAAGUUACCGACUCACAGA
RNAcentral lists this ribosomal RNA (1210 nucleotides) under uncultured bacterium. Its description in RNAcentral is "bacterial SSU rRNA". It matches the Rfam family "Bacterial small subunit ribosomal RNA", at positions 35 to 1260 of the family's 1533-position model. The record is from RNAcentral.